Carica papaya (papaya) is the source of this 1725-nucleotide long non-coding RNA. RefSeq lists it as uncharacterized. NCBI's taxonomy places the organism in Eukaryota, Viridiplantae, Streptophyta, Magnoliopsida, Brassicales, Caricaceae. The record is from RefSeq and is a predicted model, not a curated record.
UGGCAGACAGAAAGGCAUGGAAAAUGGGUGACCUGCAUGAUGGAAGCCUGUGUCUGUGUCUGUGUAUAUGUAUUUAACUAAACACCGUCAUUUUUGUACACCCACACUUCUUCUCAUUUUUCUCUUCCAAAUAGAAAGGAAAUCGAGUAAGCCGUGAUUUGGGUUUUGCUCUUUUGCCUUCUUCUUGUUCAGGUAAUAUCUAAACUCACUCUUUCUCUAGUUUUUCUGCAAGAUACUUGGAGUUUUAGAUUUAGCAAAAUUACUUGGUAUCAGAGUAAGGAAUGGAAACCAAAAAACUCUCCUUCAAAUGCAACCCGACUUCCUGAAUCUGUCAACAACUAUCACUCGGGAGUUAAUGAGAACUCAGGAGCAUCGCUAGUUACCCAAAUGUUGGAUUCCAACAACGAUCACUCUUGGGCUAGGUCAAUGAAGAGAGCCCUUAGGAUGAAGAACAAACUCGAUUUUAUUGAUGGAACAAUUUGGAGAACCUACUGAUCCUGACAGCCCUGUGAUGAAGCAUUGGUUGUGUUGUGAUGACAUCAUCAUAACAUGGAUACAGAAUAUUGUGUCUGUAGACAUUAAGAGAAGUACUUUGUAUGCUAAGACAACAUAUCAACUAUGGAGUGAGCUUGAGCAGAGGCUUGCUCAACACAAUUCCCCUAGGGUUUAUGAGGUGAAAUAGUCCAUAGCCAGCCUAGUGCAUGAGAAUAACAAUGUUAGUGUCUACUUCUCCAAGCUUAAGGAGUUAUUUGAUGAACUACUUAAUUAUGAGUAUGUCCCUAAUUGCACCUGCAGUGGUCUAAAGUCCCUAAUUUAAUAUCAGGAAAGGGAUUGGUCAAUGAAGUUCCUAAUAAGACUAGAUGAGAGCUAUAAAAAUAUAAAAGGCUCAAGUUCUAAUGAUGAAGCCCUUCCCAAGCUUGAAUGAGGUGUACUCAAUAGUACAGUAGGAAGAAAAAAGGAGGGAAAUUUUUGUUGAUCUUGGCCCUAAUAGAGCUAUGGCCUUUAUCAUCAAAGACUUCAACAAAAACUCUAAAGCUAGUGCAGUAGGAAAGGAAAAACUGUAUUGUACACAUUGUAAUACCACAGACCAUAUGUUAGAGAAGUGCUGGAAGGUCACUUGAACUAAACCCACCUGCACACAUUGUGGAAAAUCUGGGCACACCAUAGAUGUUUGCUACAAAUUGCAUGGGUACCCCAAAGAGAAAAAGCCUCGUGGGAAGGGAAGGGGAGCUAUAGCAAAUCAGGUAUCUGGGGGGGAAGGAAAUGAAACCAAUGAUGUGGGGAACAACAAUGUGAUAACUUAAGAGCAAUAUAUUUAGCUCAUGCAACUGCUAUAGCAGAAUCCUGCCACUGCCAACAUGGUGCAGAGUCAUGUUUCAAUCAGCAUAGAGACAAAACUGCAUGACUUUUCUGGCUUCGAACAUGGAAGACAAUUGGAAUGCAUAGGCAGGAACGUGGAUUGUAUAUUUUGCAGCAGAAAAGAGAAUUUUUUGUGAAGAGCAAUGUACUUUUGCAACUGUUAGAACCCAAAAGGGUGAAUCAGGAACAAAUUUUAAGUUGUCAUUAUCGCUUAGGGCAUUCAUUGUUACUAAAAACAGGUUCUUUUUUUUUUUAAAAUGUCCAAAUGUGUAAAGCAUGAUAUUUGUGAUGUAUGUUCCUUAGUUAAGAUGUACAGAUUAUCUUUCGGUGUUAGUGAAUACAAGUCUGAACACCAGUUUGAUCUUA